Molecule: ribosomal RNA, 1388 nt
Filed under: uncultured prokaryote
Description: partial 16S ribosomal RNA
Rfam family: Bacterial small subunit ribosomal RNA
Source: RNAcentral
CGAACGCUGGCGGCACGCCUAACACAUGCAAGUCGAGCGCCCCUUUCGGGGGGAGCGGCGGACGGGGUAGUAACGCGGGGGAACAUACCCUUUUCUAAGGAAUAGCCUCGGGAAACUGAGAGUAAUACCUUAUACGCCCUUCGGGGGAAAGAUUUAUCGCCAAAGGAUUGGCCCGCGUUGGAUUAGGAAGUUGGUGGGGUAAUGGCCUACCAAGCCGACGAUCCAUAGCUGGUUUGAGAGGAUGAUCAGCCACACUGGGACUGAGACACGUCCCAGACUCCUACGGGAGGCAGCAGUGGGGAAUCUUAGACAAUGGGCGCAAGCCUGAUCUAGCCAUGCCGCGUGAUCGAUGAAGGCCUUAGGGUUGUAAAGAUCUUUCGCUAGGGAUGAUAAUGACAGUACCUAGUAAAGAAGUCCCGGCUAACUCCGUGCCAGCAGCCGCGGUAAUACGGAGGGGACUAGCGUUGUUCGGAAUUACUGGGCGUAAAGCGUACGUAGGCGGAUUAGAAAGUAUGGGGUGAAAUCCCAGGGCUCAACCCUGGAACUGCCUCAUAAACUCCUGGUCCUGAGUUCGAGAGAGGUGAGUGGAAUUCCAAGUGUAGAGGUGAAAUUCGUAGAUAUUUGGAGGAACACCAGCACCAGUGGCGAAGGCGGCUCACUGGCUCGAUACUGACGCUGAGGUACGAAAGUGUGGGGAGCAAACAGGAUUAGAUACCCUGGUAGUCCACACCGUAAACGAUGAAUGCCAGUCGUCGGGUAGCAUGCUAUUCGGUGACACACUUAACGGAUUAAGGCCUUCCGCCUGGGGAGUACGGUCGCAAGACUAAAACUCAAAGGAAUUGACGGGGGCCCGCACAAGCGGUGGAGCCUGUGGUUUACUUCGUAGCAACGCGCAGAACCUUACCAACCAUUGACAUCCUAUGACAACCCGAGAGUUCGGGCUUUCCUUCGCGGGACAUAGUGACAGGUGCUGCAUGGCUGUCGUCAGCUCGUGUCGUGAGAUGUUCGGUUAAGUCCGGCAACGAGCGCAACCCACAUCCUUAGUUGCCAGCAGUUCGGCUGGGCACUCUAGGGAAACUGCCCGUGAUAAGCGGGAGGAAGGUGUGGAUGACGUCAAGUCCUCAUGGCCCUUACGGGUUGGGCUACACACGUGCUACAAUGGCAGUGACAAUGGGUUAAUCCCGAAAAACUGUCUCAGUUCGGAUUGGGGUCUGCAACUCGACCCCAUGAAGUCGGAAUCGCUAGUAAUCGCGUAACAGCAUGACGCGGUGAAUACGUUUCCCGGGCUUGUACACACCGCCCGUCACACCAUGGGAGUUGGGUCUACCCGAAGGCAGUGCGCCAACCUUUCGAGGGGGCAGCGGACCACGGUAGGUUCAGCGAAAUGG